CUUCACUGCCACAGGGGCCUAAUACAUUAAUGGAUUCAACAAAGUGCAGGAGUAGAAUAUUUUGUAAAGAGAAGAAGUGAAUGGGGAACAUUUCAUGCUGGGAAACUGGAUAGUAAUUGAAAUAAUGAAGAUACCACAGCAGUACAGUACUUGUUUGAGAAAACUGGAUUGCAGAGGAGAUGGACAGAACAUGCUGCUGUAUGUUGGUGUGGAGUUUGUACGUAUAUACAAGACAAUGUAUCAGUGAACCCCUGAGGAAGUCCCAGAGAUGAACUAAGGGACGAAACGCGUUGGACACCUUCCGGCACUCCGCUCCUAUCUGAGGAAAUAACAGAUAAGCUCAUAUGCAUUUUUAAAUUACAUGCUGGUGGACAAUAAAAAUGAAAUCCUGGCACGCAGGAACCUCCUCAAACACAACUUCCUGCUGUUGGAAUGCAUAUGGAACACAAUCGAUGACUCACUUCCGGUGAACGGGUAAUAGGAGUGAUCAUUGCAAAAUUAAUGGCAGGUGAUGGGAAGUAUUCUAAGAACAGUGGAAUGGAUGUAAUGGACUGUCUUUAGAGGUUGUAUGACUCACAAAAGUAUAAGUGUCAGGAAGCGAGUGGAGAAAAUUGUGGCAGAUAUGCAGCACCCAGGUGACAAACUGUUUGAACCACUUCCAUCAGGCAGACGCUACAGGUCCAUUCCCGUGAAGUCAGCCAGAUCCAUUAAAAGCUUCUUCCCACUAGCUGUCCACCAGCUGAACAAUAUAUAAAAAGUCUGACAUGUAUAAUAUGUCUACUAUGUCGAGUCUAUUGUACAGUUGCAAUGUGCAGUAUGAACUCAUACGUGUAAUGUAUGUAAUGAAUGGUACAUUUUUCCCCCUUCUUAUGCUAUGUAUUCCCCCUUCAUGUUGCUGCUUGGCGAUGCAUUGUACUGCAAAAAAUUCCUAGUGUAUGUGAGUACACCCGGCCAAAAAAGCUGAUUCUGAUAAGUUAGUUGAUCAAUGUCUGGCAUUGGGUUUAUCCAAUUAGCACACGUGUAGUAUAAAUAUCAGGAACUAGGUGAGCCUUUCUAUGCCUUGAAAAAGACAACACUGGGGUGUCAAAACCAGUCGGCAGAAAGGAAUUGGACUCCACCUAACAGACGGGUAGUGCAUUUUAAGGGAUGCCUGAUGUGCUAUUUGUGAUCUUGCUCCUUUUUCCUACCUGGGUUGUAGGCAGUAUGUAAUGGUGAGAGACCAUUACCUCAUGUUUGCAUGUUUUUAUGUUUGUAAUAUAAUGGUAUUUUAACAUUGGAAGUUUCUAUUGUCUCCCAUAUGUAUCACUACCUAACCUGAGGUGACGGUGAGGAGGGAAGUCUCUUUCAAGGAAGGAACAUACAGAUGGUGGUUGAAUCUGCUCCUAUAGAUACACUUUUGUCUACUUAUAUCAGUAGACCAACACUUGCAGUAUGGGUCCCCCUGAAUUUUUGUUCACAUCUACGGUUCCGCCUGAAUUUUUAUUCACAUCUAUUUGGUUUUAUUCUGGAUUAAUUUAAAUACACUAAUGCCAAUAUUUACUAAAAAUCCGAGUUUGUCCGAUUUGUGUUUUUUUUUCUAAGUCCCAACACGGGAAUUCACUAAGCACAAAUCUCGGCAAUGUUUGGGCUAUUCGUAAUGGUUUGAAUGACAAAGUUCAGAAAUACGAAUGAAUAGACCAUCGGUCAAACACGGCUGUUAUUUCAUACAACACGGGUAUUCACUAUUCAUUCGUAUUUGGGUGUUAGUCUCUGAGUGCUCAAGUGCGGGUGUAUUUUUUUGCGAAUCGUUAAAAAAAGCAGCAAAAAAAUAGACCUGCUUUUUCCAGUCGAGUUUGGAUAACCAUGCACAGAUCAGUGAGAUCUGUGCAUGGUUAUCUAUGGGAAAGGGUCUGUUUACUGUAAAAACUUUGUAAAAAAUUUGCGUGGAGUCCCCCCUCCUAAGCAUAACCAGCCUCGGGCUCUUUGAGCCGGUCCUGGUUGAAAAAAUAUGGGGGGGAAAAUGACAGGGGUUCCCGCAUAUUUGAUCAACCAGCACUGGGCUCUGCGCCUGGUCCUGGUGCCAAAAAUACGGGGGACAAAAAGCGUAGGGGUCCCCCGUAUUUUUGGAACCAGCACCGGGCUCCACUAGUCAGAGAGAUAAUGCCACAGCCGGGGGACACUUUUAUCUUGGUCCUUGCGGCCCUGGCAUUAAAUCACUAACUAGUCACCCUUGGCCGGGGUACCCUGGAGGAGUGGGAACCCCUUAAAACAAGGGCCCCCCCCCCUCCAGCCACCCAAGGGCCAGGGGUGAAGCCUGAGGCUGCCCCCCCCCCAUCCAAGGGCGGCGGAUGGGGGGCUGAUAGCCUUGUGAAAAAAAUAGAAUAUUGUUUUUUGUAGCAGUACUACAAGUCCCAGCAAGCCUCCCCCACAAGCUAGUACUUGGAGAACCACAAGUAUCAGCAUGCGGGGGGAAAACGGGUUCGCUGGUACCUGUAGUACUAAUACAAAAAAAAUACCCAACAAAAAACAGGACACACACACCGUGACAGUAAAACUUUAUUACAUACAUGCACACCUACAUACAAACAUACUUACCUAUGUUCACACGAGGCUCGGUCCACUUCUCCAUGUAGACUCCACGGGGUACCUGAGAAAAAAAUUAUACUCACACAAUCCAGUGUAGCUUCUGUCCUCUUUGUAAUCCACGUACUUGGCAAAAAAAACAAAUCGAAAAAGCCGAACCACGCACUGA
Long non-coding RNA from Pseudophryne corroboree (corroboree frog), 2731 nucleotides. RefSeq lists it as uncharacterized. The transcript has 3 exons. NCBI's taxonomy places the organism in Eukaryota, Metazoa, Chordata, Amphibia, Anura, Myobatrachidae. The record is from RefSeq and is a predicted model, not a curated record.